Molecule: ribosomal RNA, 492 nt
Filed under: uncultured bacterium
Lineage: Bacteria
Description: partial 16S ribosomal RNA
Rfam family: Bacterial small subunit ribosomal RNA
Source: RNAcentral
AGUGAACGCUGGCGGUAGGCCUAAUACAUGCAAGUCGAACGACCACACAGUAAGCUUUCUCUCCUAAGGGUGGCGAGUGGCGGACGGGUGAGGCAUACAUCGGCUUCUACUUUUUCGGGGGGGACAACGUGGGGAAACUGACGCUAAUAGCGCAUAUGUUCUACGGGUGAAAGCAGGGGAUCUUCGGACCUUUCGCGUUUGAAUGAGCCGAUGUCGGAUUAGCUAGUUGGCGUGGUAAAGGCUCACCAAGGCGACGAUCCGUAGCUGAUCUGAGAGGAUGAUCGGCCACACUGGAACUGAGACACGGUCCAGACUCCUACGGGAGGCAGCAGUGGGGAAUAUUCGGCAAUGGGCGAAAGCCUGACGCAGCCAUGCCGCGUGAGUGAUGAAGGUCUUCGGGUCGUAAAGCUCUUUUAUUAGGGAAGAACAACUGUGUAAGUAUCUAUGCAUGUCUUGACGGUACCUAAACAGAAAGCACCGGCUAACUACGUG